Molecule: ribosomal RNA, 282 nt
Filed under: uncultured Sphingobacteriales bacterium
Lineage: Bacteria; Pseudomonadati; Bacteroidota; Sphingobacteriia; Sphingobacteriales
Description: partial 16S ribosomal RNA
Rfam family: Bacterial small subunit ribosomal RNA
Source: RNAcentral
AACCCUUACCGUUAGUUACCAUCAGGUUAAGCUGGGGACUCUAGCGGGACUGCCACCGUAAGGUGAGAGGAAGUGGGGAUGACGUCAAAUCAGCACGGCCCUUAUGUCCAGGGCUACACACGUGUUACAAUGGCCAGUACAAAGGGCAGCUACCGGGUGACCGGAUGCUAAUCUCUAAAGCUGGUCUCAGUUCGGAUCGAAGUCUGCAACCCGACUUCGUGAAGCUGGAUUCGCUAGUAAUCGCGCAUCAGCCAUGGCGCGGUGAAUACGUUCCCGGGCCUU